UGGAUCCGUGAAUGAUUCUCUGUUAACUGGGCAAAAAGCCCAACGUUUUUUCUUCUAAGAGAAGGUGUGUAAUCACGUGUGUUUGCUAUUGACGGGCGCUUUAACGUUCUACAGAUAAUUACUACAGCUGAGGCUUCUCUGUCUGACGUUCUACAGAUAAUUACUACAGCUGAGGCUUCUCUGUCUGACGUUCUACAGAUAAUUACUACAGCUGAGGCUUCUCUGUCUGACGUUCUACAGAUAAUUACUACAGCUGAGGCUUCUCUGUCUGACGUUCUACAGAUAAUUACUACAGCUGAGGCUUCUCUGUCUGACGUUCUACAGAUAAUUACUACAGCUGAGGCUUCUCUGUCUGACGUUCUACAGAUAAUUACUACAGCUGAGGCUUCUCUGUCUGACGUUCUACAGAUAAUUACUACAGCUGAGGCUUCUCUGUCUGACGUUCUACAGAUAAUUACUACAGCUGAGGCUUCUCUGUCUGACGUUCUACAGAUAAUUACUACAGCUGAGGCUUCUCUGUCUGACGUUCUACAGAUAAUUACUACAGCUGAGGCUUCUCUGUCUGACGUUCUACAGAUAAUUACUACAGCUGAGGCUUCUCUGUCUGACGUUCUACAGAUAAUUACUACAGCUGAGGCUUCUCUGUCUGACGUUCUACAGAUAAUUACUACAGCUGAGGCUUCUCUGUCUGACGUUCUACGGAUAAUUACUACAGCUGAGGCUUCUCUGUCUGACGUUCUACGGAUAAUUACUACAGCUGAGGCUUCUCUGUCUGACGUUCUACGGAUAAUUACUACAGCUGAGGCUUCUCUGUCUGACGUUCUACAGAUAAUUACUACAGCUGAGGCUUCUCUGUCUGACGUUCUACAGAUAAUUACUACAGCUGAGGCUUCUCUUUCUUUGCCACCUCAGUUCAAUAACGUACGAUAGGUUUUUAGGAUAGCUUCCAGGUCUAUGACGUUAUCCAACGCCGUGCUGCUAGCGAGAGACCGAGACGAGAAGCUGUCGGUGUUCCUACAAAACAUCCUGUCUCGCGUCCAACUAUCUCCAAUAUCUCCAAUAUUCAGCGGAAGUUUCCCCAGCUGUUCUACUGAGUGAGAUCUCUGUCAGAGAUUUAAGGCCAGAAACGCAUAUUCAUAUUCCGUCUCCUGUUGACUAUGAGAUAUUGAAGCCCUGAGAUAUAAAUGAUGAGAAACCCAUCAAAGACGAAUUUGUUAGCGCAGAUGUUCUGCCAGACUGAAUAUGCCAACUUUUCAGAGGAGAUAGUAGACAGAGAAGCUGAGAAAAUUGUACUGACAUGACGUGCAAUGUGCAUUAUGUCUUGUCACUUCAUAUAGUAUAUACAGUAUGUUAAUCAUUAUUACUUCAGCAUAAUUAUUACCAGGUUGAGGCUAAAUCGUAAACACAGAGGACUUUGAACUUUAAAAGUCCUUACAAUCACUGUUCAGACAAUUGAACUACUGAACACAUGAGUCAGUCUUUCUAGAAAUGUCACUCCCCUCACUAGAAUCCUAAACCGUAAAAGCUAGGCAAUUGAGGGAACAAGGAAACAGAAGUAGGAUUAUGUUUGUCAUCACAUAGGCUAUAAAUACCUUGAACAACUUUCAAGUUAUUCAAUUUGAAAUGUUUUGUUUCAACUUUCAAUUUUGACAAUGAAACUGUCAACAGAGGAGCCAAUUGAGUCUUACCCUUGGUGUCUUCGUGUGGAUGUGGGAGAUGUAGAAAUGUUGACAGAGGAGACAUCCAGUGGUAUGGCAAUUUCUAAACAAGUAUGGUGCUACUCUUAGUUUGUCUCAGCCCAUUUUUUAACUAUAUUGCUCCACCUCUAUUCCCUACAAUGACCCAACAGAGUCUGGAAACACCUCUGUGUGUGUGUGUGUGUGUGUGUGUGUGUGUGUGUGUGUGUGUGUGUGUGUGUGUGUGUGUGUGUGUGUGUGUGUGUGUGUGUGUGUGUGUGUGUGUGUGUGUGUGUGUGUGUGUGUGUGUGUGUGUGUGAGAGAGAGAGAGAGAGAGUAAGCUAAAGGCUCACCCUUCAGUGUUAGAUAAGAAAUCAGUACGAAAGGGCUGUGUUCUCCUGGUGUGCGUGUGUAUACACCAUCAUUGAGAAGAGUGAUAUUUUGACCUCAGUACUGACAUGUGUCAAGUCUCCAGAUGUUGUGUCAAGUCUCCAGAUGUUAUGACAUCUGUGUAGCAGGGACACACCACCACGCGAAGGUAUUUUUAGAGGUAUAAUUGCCGAUAAAUGAUAUGACAAUUAGCACUUUACAUUUGAAGGUCUUUCGUAUAUAUGAAUGUUUUCUUUAUGUGGUAGAAAAUGGCUCUUUAUUGCCCAUUAUUGACAGGAGAGCUAAUUGCCUGUGGGCCGUUCUCCCCUCUCUUCACAGGAUGGCUGUCAAAUCUGAGAUGAAAAGAGAGAAAAGAAUCGUAUUAACUGGAACCUCUGGGAUUUGUUUUAGUUCGGCUGUUAAAGACCAACACGCUCUGUUUAUCGAGGUGUUGUGACGAGCUCAUUGCUUUCUGCCCGUGGCAACGAUUAUUUGAGAAGAUGAGAAUAGGCUUCGAAACACUCCUCCUUCUCCCUGGUGACGUUCUGUUGAUGUUUUGUUUUAAUUCUGGGUGCUGUGUGAGCAUGUCAGGACUUGUUUAGGACUUGCCACCAGGGCUCACCCUCUGCUCUACUCUAACCUUGAUCAUGUUAAUCACUUGUAUAAGUGUCACAUGCAUGCACACACACGCAUGCACACACACACACAUCCCCUGGGAUAACAGGCUUUCCAAGAAAAACCUCAGGAUCGGGCAGUGACCAGGUGCUAGUCACCCAAACUGCAAGGUGACCAUCGUGAGCAGGUCAAACAACGAUGAAACCAGGAUGUGGUGGCCCACUGGAAAGCAGAGUGUGGCCUGGCCAUGGACUAGACUCUCCUGCUGACCCUGCAUUCUGCUCACACCCUGGAUACGCUGGGCAGCAGGACCGCCAGGAAACAGCUAACACACACCUAAUUAGCAGAACAAACCGUGUAAUUGUCUCCCAAAUUGUUAUGUGACAGUUUAAAAUAUACUGGUGUAUAUAGACUGGUGCCCCGUGUAUAUAGACAAGACUCAUGAUGUAUUAUUACAUUUUGUACUUUUCUAUUAUUUCUCUAUUAUCUUUCUCUCUGUAUUGUUGGGAAGGGCCCGUAACUAAGCAUUUAACUGUCAGUCCACACCUGUUGUUUACGAAGCAUGUGACGGAUCAAUUUGUUAUUUCAUUGAUUUGAUACUAAAUGUAAUAUUGCCUGUUUGAUUUGAUUUGAUUGAUUUGAAACAGACCCCCUCGGUAUGUAAAUGUGUGUCUAAAACCGUCAGAAAAUGUCAAUGAAUUGUGAAUAUGAAUUACAGCCUUCUGCUUCCUGCUUGGAAAGGUCAGUCUGA
RNA transcript from Oncorhynchus gorbuscha (pink salmon), 3411 nucleotides. It is a transcript of the gene named acyl-CoA dehydrogenase family, member 11, with no coding region annotated. The record is from RefSeq and is a predicted model, not a curated record. NCBI's taxonomy places the organism in Eukaryota, Metazoa, Chordata, Actinopteri, Salmoniformes, Salmonidae. The transcript is spliced from 3 exons.